This 72-nucleotide transfer RNA is filed under the name Ictidomys tridecemlineatus (thirteen-lined ground squirrel). Its description in RNAcentral is "Spermophilus tridecemlineatus (thirteen-lined ground squirrel) tRNA". It matches the Rfam family "tRNA". From Rfam's summary of the family: Transfer RNA (tRNA) molecules are approximately 80 nucleotides in length. Their secondary structure includes four short double-helical elements and three loops (D, anti-codon, and T loops). The record is from Rfam by way of RNAcentral. Lineage: Eukaryota; Metazoa; Chordata; Mammalia; Rodentia; Sciuridae.
GGAGUUGUGGCUCAGUGGCAGAGCACUUACCUGGCAAGUGUGAGGCCCUGGGUUCGAUCCUUGGCAACACAU